RNAcentral lists this long non-coding RNA (1097 nucleotides) under Prunus persica (peach). RNAcentral describes it as "long non-coding RNA (PPER_LNC003711)". The record is from RNAcentral. Lineage: Eukaryota; Viridiplantae; Streptophyta; Magnoliopsida; Rosales; Rosaceae.
CUGAGCAAAAACAACGGCCAGAAAAUCAACAGGAAACAAACAUGAACAAAUCUAGCUAAAACCAUUACAGACUACAAUAUCUCACGAAGAUCAUGUUCCCAAGAAGAAAAAAAAAACUAAAACAGCAAAAGCCAACAUAAAGGCAUUAAGCCCACAUAAAGGUAUAUAGCCCACAAAGAGGCAUUACGCCCACAUUCGGCAUAAAGGCCAUAUUAGACAUAAAGCCCAAAUUAAACACAAAAUAAAAGAAAAAUACAUAGCCACCACAACCAAAGAGAAACUCCAAGCCGCCAUUUGCAAAGAGAAACUCCACGACUGUAGAUGGACAAACCACCAAUCACCACCAUGAAGACAACAGCUAUCCAAAAAAGAAUGAGAACCAUUCCACAACUAAGAGAAAAAGAACCAAUAACAUAGAAGGAGGUGGUGCAAGCACUCGAGCUAGAGCUCUACACACCUUCCAAUAAAAAAGCGCCAAAACACGUUUGAAAUGUGCAUUUACAUACCAAGGAUGAGGCCAUAUCAAAGGGGAGGUGAAGGAAUUCGGAUGAGCCAUGGAUUUUGGGUCGGUAUGAAGCAAGAUCCGCAAGGUAAAAAUGGUGGUGAUAGGGGAAAUCAUGCCCGUGGUCUUCAUCCACCCAGAUUGAAAAAUAAGGGGAGAAGAAGAAAAGUGUAAUUCAAGGAGGAAGAAUGAGGAAGAGGAGGGGGAGGGAGGAGGGGCAGACCACCUCCCCCCAAGAUACGACACUGAAGGGGUGGGGGAGUUUUUUUUUCUCUGCUAGGUUUAGAGAGAGAGAGAGAGAGAGUGAGUAAAAUGAUAGUAGCUAAUUGAAGUUCAAACUCAAAGGAAUCAUAUAAACUUGGAAGAUUUACUAUUAUACUCAAUAUAUGGGCCCAAAUUAUAAUACAAAAAACCCUAUAUGAAAUGGACUUCAGAAACAUACCCAAUGCCCAUUUACAACAUAACAAAAAGGCUUCUAAUUUCAUAUAAAUUACAAAACAUCCAUUGAUUUCUUAAAACAAACCCAACCCCAAAACCUCAUAAAUAAAAACUCAAAACACUCAAUAGGGUAUCAAAGUAAUUUAAUAAUCAAAAU